AGAAGUUAAUGUCCGAAUUAAAAAUGGUAUUAUUGGUGGAAGCUGGAAGCUAACCUUUGCUACUUUCUGUAACAUUAACGUUAGCAUAAAUUAGCCAGUGCUAGCUUUAUUUUUUUACACCUGAAAGGGGUUUGAAAAAUAAAUUCACUGAGAAACGUUUGGACAAUUAGUGAAAACGACUUGUAAUGACAGAGUGAAAUACCAAUUUAACCUAUCUCCCGGCCAUAUUUGGUAGUAUAUUUGCCUCUGGCAUGUAGAUUGAUAGGCAUAGAUAGAAGCUAACUUAUGAUUUGUCAUGCAAGACAGAGAAUGGAACGGUUAACAUUACUAGCCUAAGGUGUAGACAUUCUAUGCACUGUGGUUUAGCUAGUUAGCUGCUAUUGUUGCAUCAAGGACAACACUUAGAGCUAACAUUAGCUUUUUUUUUUUUUUAGAUAGGAUGUAAUGUGGUAACGUUAUGUGCUGGAGAGUAUUAGAGUGGACGUGUAGAAAUUGAAGACACUUGUACUGUGCUUAAUUUCAUGGAAAUGGUAUUGCAAGGAAUGUGUUUUGUUUUUGUGCACUAUCAAACUACUUUGUCAUGCUUUGUGCACUGACAUUCUUGCAAAACCAUUCACACCCAUGCUAAAUUAUGGAAAUGUAAAAGUUGAAUUGUAUUGAAAAGGACCAUGUAUGGUCAUGUAGUGCAUUUGAGCACUGACACCCCUUUUUUUACAUUUUAGAGAGGCAACACUCGAAAGCUACAUCAAGGACACCAGAGGAUGGACCAGAAGACCUGAGACCAAGACGACCCAAGCCCAACCCAUAGUAUGCUUCACUGACAAAUGUUGAUGCUUCAUCAUCACAUAGACCAAAGGUUUCAGAGAAGGCUGGUAGAGCUUUCUAUGAGUGUGAGCUGUGGGAGAUAACCAAGAACUGACAACCACCUACAGAAGAGGUGGCGAUAAUGGCUCUCCAAGAGGAGGAGGCACUUAGAGGGAAUGCCUGGACCCUGAGAGGACUAAGACGAUCAUUGAGGCCACCCUGAAGCAGUUCCCAGGCCAGACACUCACUCCAGAUUGCUGGGCCAGGCAAUAAAUGCCAAAGUGACAGAACUGAGGUUCCAUAACAAAAACAAAGAUUUCAAUAAAAUAGAAUAAAAGAUAA
Long non-coding RNA from Alosa sapidissima (American shad), 1146 nucleotides. RefSeq lists it as uncharacterized. Lineage: Eukaryota; Metazoa; Chordata; Actinopteri; Clupeiformes; Clupeidae. The transcript has 4 exons. The record is from RefSeq and is a predicted model, not a curated record.